AACGGAGGGUGCGAGCGUUGUUCGGAAUUACUGGGCGUAAAGCGCGUGCAGGCGGUCUUUUAAGUUCCGUGUGAAAUCCCCCGGCUUAACUGGGGAACGGCGCGGAAAACUGGAAGACUGGAAUACGGGAGAAGAGGGCGGAAUUCCCAGUGUAGAGGUGAAAUUCGUAGAUAUUGGGAGGAACACCGGUGGUGAAAGCGGCUCUCUAGACCGAUAUUGACGCUCAUACGCGAGAGCGUGGGGAGCAAACAGG
Molecule: ribosomal RNA, 253 nt
Filed under: uncultured bacterium
Lineage: Bacteria
Description: partial 16S ribosomal RNA
Rfam family: Bacterial small subunit ribosomal RNA
Source: RNAcentral